GAUGAACGCUGACAGAAUGCUUAACACAUGCAAGUCUUUGGCGAAGCUGUGCUUGCACAGCCUAGCCAAGGCGGACGGGUGAGUAACGCGUAAGGGACUUGCCCUGCAGUCAGGGAUAACAGACGGAAACGACUGAUAAGACCUGGUAAAGUCAGGCGGACUCAUGUCCAGCCUGAUGAAAAGGAAUGCUGCAGGAGAGCCUUGCGUCCUAUUAGCUUGUUGGUGGGGUAACGGCCCACCAAGGCGAUGAUAGGUAGCCGGCCUGAGAGGGUGGACGGCCACAAGGGGACUGAGAUACGGCCCUUACUCCUACGGGAGGCAGCAGUGGGGAAUAUUGGACAAUGGGGGCAACCCUGAUCCAGCAAUUCUGUGUGCACGAUGGAGGUCUUCGGAUUGUAAAGUGCUUUCAGCAGGGAAGAAAAA
RNAcentral lists this ribosomal RNA (423 nucleotides) under Leptotrichia wadei. RNAcentral's name for it is "bacterial SSU rRNA". It matches the Rfam family "Bacterial small subunit ribosomal RNA", at positions 28 to 452 of the family's 1533-position model. Lineage: Bacteria; Fusobacteriati; Fusobacteriota; Fusobacteriia; Fusobacteriales; Leptotrichiaceae. The record is from RNAcentral.